CAAUUGGAGGGGCGACUGGGGACGUUGCUUUGGAGCGGUAUGGUGUGGUUGAGGGUUUUGUAGUGGUCCAACUAAGUUAGUUUAUAUAUAACAGGAGCUACCGGUGUGUCGUGUGCGAGCUGGAGUUCCACAGCGAGGAGCUGGUGGUGCGGCACCACCGCGACGACCACAGCCAGCACGGACACACCUGCCACGUGUGCCAGCGCCGGUUCCAGUCCAACGAAGAAACUGUAUCAGUUACAUCGGCGUAACAGUCACAAGGCUCGUAAAAAGUGCCCCAUUUGUAAGAAGGUGUUAGGACCCAACGCAGACCUGAAGAAACAUAUGCUAAAGAAGAAGACGCAUACUGCGCGGAGUGUGAUGUACAGUUUAAGGCUGAAUAUAUAUAUAGGAUGCAUCUACGCACUAGUCUCAAACAUAACACCGACGAAGACCUCAAACACAAAUGUCCCCACUGUGACAAGAGAUGCAAGUUUGCUUCUCUACUCAAACAUCACAUAGAGUCGGUACACACGAAGGAAAUGAUCUACUCAUGCCAACUGUGCGACCAAGUAAGACCACUAAUAUCCU
RNA transcript from Achroia grisella, 570 nucleotides. RefSeq lists it as uncharacterized. Lineage: Eukaryota; Metazoa; Arthropoda; Insecta; Lepidoptera; Pyralidae. The record is from RefSeq and is a predicted model, not a curated record. The transcript has 4 exons.